RNAcentral lists this ribosomal RNA (483 nucleotides) under uncultured bacterium. RNAcentral's name for it is "partial 16S ribosomal RNA". It matches the Rfam family "Bacterial small subunit ribosomal RNA", at positions 30 to 507 of the family's 1533-position model. The record is from RNAcentral.
UUGAACGCUGGCGGCAGGCCUAACACAUGCAAGUCGAGCGGAUGAAGGGAGCUUGCUCCUGGAUUCAGCGGCGGACGGGUGAGUAAUGCCUAGGAAUCUGCCUGGUAGUGGGGGAUAACGUCCGGAAACGGGCGCUAAUACCGCAUACGUCCUGAGGGAGAAAGUGGGGGAUCUUCGGACUUCACGCUAUCAGAUGAGCCUAGGUCGGAUUAGCUAGUUGGUGGGGUAAAGGCCUACCAAGGCGACGAUCCGUAACUGGUCUGAGAGGAUGAUCAGUCACACUGGAACUGAGACACGGUCCAGACUCCUACGGGAGGCAGCAGUGGGGAAUAUUGGACAAAGGGCGAAAGCCUGAUCCAGCCAUGCCGCGUGUGUGAAGAAGGUCUUCGGAUUGUAAAGCACUUUAAGUUGGGAGGAAGGGCAGUAAGUUAAUACCUUGCUGUUUUGACGUUACCAACAGAAUAAGCACCGGCUAACUUCGUG